GAUGAACGCUGGCGGCGUGCCUAAUACAUGCAAGUCGAACGAAACUUCUUUAUCACCGAGUGCUUGCACUCACCGAUAAAGGGUUGAGUGGCGAACGGGUGAGUAACACGUGGGCAACCUGCCCAAAAGAGGGGGAUAACACUUGGAAACAGGUGCUAAUACCGCAUAACCAUAGUUACCGCAUGGUAACUAUGUAAAAGGUGGCUAUACUACCGCUUUUGGAUGGGCCCGCGGCGCAUUAGCUAGUUUGUAGGGUAAAGGCUUACUAAGGCAAUGAUGCGUAGCCGAAGUGAGAGGUUGAUCGGCCACAUUGGGACUGAGACACGGCCAAAACUCCUACGGGAGGCAGCAGUAGGGAAUCUGCCACAAUGGGCGAAAGCCUGAUGGAGCAACGCCGCGUGGGUGAAGAAGGUCUUCGGAUCGUAAAACCCUGUUGUUAGAGAAGAAAGUGCGUGAGAGUAACUGUUCACGUUUCGACGGUAACUAAUCAGAAAGCCACGGCUAACUACGUG
RNAcentral lists this ribosomal RNA (512 nucleotides) under uncultured bacterium. RNAcentral's name for it is "partial 16S ribosomal RNA". It matches the Rfam family "Bacterial small subunit ribosomal RNA", at positions 28 to 507 of the family's 1533-position model. The record is from RNAcentral.